RNAcentral lists this ribosomal RNA (336 nucleotides) under Microstigma anomalum. RNAcentral's name for it is "partial 12S ribosomal RNA". Lineage: Eukaryota; Metazoa; Arthropoda; Insecta; Odonata; Coenagrionidae. The record is from RNAcentral.
GUAUUAGUUAUGUUCUUUAAACUUAAAGAAUUUGGCGGUAUUUUAUUCUUUCCAGAGGAACCUGUUCUUUAAUUGAUAAUCCACGAUUUUAUUUACUUGUAUUUGUAAUCAGUUUUUAUAUCUCCGUCAUAAGAAUAUUUUUAUAGUAUUAAUUUUCUUGAUUAUUAAAGAUUAAUAUGUCAGGUCAAGGUGAAAUUUAUAUAUAAGUAGAAAUGGGUUACAAUAAAUAUAUUUAUAUGAAUAAUUAAUAUUAUAAUUUGUUUGAAGGAGGAUUUGGGAGUAAAUUUAUUUAUUAAUUAUUUUGAUUUUAGCUCUAAAGUGUGCACACAUCGCCCG